GACGAACGCUGGCGGCGUGCUUAACACAUGCAAGUCGAACGGAGCACCCCUGAAGGAGUUUUCGGACAACGGAUGGGAAUGCUUAGUGGCGGACUGGUGAGUAACGCGUGAGGAACCUGCCUUCCAGAGGGGGACAACAGUUGGAAACGACUGCUAAUACCGCAUGAUGCAUUGAAGUCGCAUGGCUUUGAUGUCAAAGAUUUAUCGCUGGAAGAUGGCCUCGCGUCUGAUUAGCUAGUUGGUGAGGUAACGGCCCACCAAGGCGACGAUCAGUAGCCGGACUGAGAGGUUGGCCGGCCACAUUGGGACUGAGAUACGGCCCAG
RNAcentral lists this ribosomal RNA (324 nucleotides) under uncultured bacterium. Its description in RNAcentral is "bacterial SSU rRNA". It matches the Rfam family "Bacterial small subunit ribosomal RNA", at positions 28 to 334 of the family's 1533-position model. The record is from RNAcentral.